Molecule: unclassified non-coding RNA, 245 nt
Organism: Macaca nemestrina (pig-tailed macaque)
Lineage: Eukaryota; Metazoa; Chordata; Mammalia; Primates; Cercopithecidae
Rfam family: Metazoan signal recognition particle RNA
About the family: The signal recognition particle (SRP) is a universally conserved ribonucleoprotein.
Source: Ensembl
GCUGGGUGUGGUGGCUUACACCUGUAAUCCCAGCACUUUGGGAGGCUGAGGUGGGUGGAUCACCUGAGGUCAGGAGUUUGAGACCAGCCUGGCUAAGAUGGUGAAACCCCAUCUCUACUAAAAAUACAAAAAUGAGGUGUGGUGGUUCACACCUGUAAUCCUAACACUGGGAGACCAAAGUGGGUGGAUCACCUGAGGUCAGGAGUUUGAGACCAGCCUGGCCAACAUGGUGAAACCCCAUCUCU